This 700-nucleotide ribosomal RNA is filed under the name uncultured bacterium. RNAcentral describes it as "bacterial SSU rRNA". It matches the Rfam family "Bacterial small subunit ribosomal RNA", at positions 72 to 772 of the family's 1533-position model. The record is from RNAcentral.
GAGGGAGCUUGCUCCUGGAUUCAGCGGCGGACGGGUGAGUAAUGCCUAGGAAUCUGCCUGGUAGUGGGGGAUAACGUCCGGAAACGGGCGCUAAUACCGCAUACGUCCUGAGGGAGAAAGUGGGGGAUCUUCGGACCUCACGCUACCAGAUGAGCCUAGGUCGGAUUAGCUAGUUGGUGGGGUAAAGGCCUACCUAGGCGACGAUCCCUAGCUGGUCUGAGAGGAUGACCAGCCACACUGGAACUGAGACACGGUCCACACUAAUACGGGAGGCAGCAGUGGGGAAUAUUGCACAAUGGGCGCAAGCCUGAUGCAGCCAUGCCGCGUGUGUGAAGAAGGCCUUCGGGUUGUAAAGCACUUUCAGCGGGGAGGAAGGCGGUGAGGUUAAUAACCUCAUCGAUUGACGUUACCCGCAGAAGAAGCACCGGCUAACUCCGUGCCAGCAGCCGCGGUAAUACGGAGGGUGCAAGCGUUAAUCGGAAUUACUGGGCGUAAAGCGCACGCAUGCGGUCUGUCAAGUCCGAUGUGAAAUCCCCGGGCUCAACCUGGGAACUGCAUUCCAAACUGGCAGGCUAGAGUCUUGUAGAGGGGGGGUAAAUUCCAGGUGUAGCGGUGAAAUGCGUAAAGAUCUGGAGGAAUACCGGGGCCGAAGCGGCCCCUGGACAAAAACUGACGCUCAGGGGAAAGCGUGGGGAGCAAC